UUCACCGUGUUAGCCAGGAUGGUCUCGAUCUCCUCACCUCGUGAUCGCCUGCCUCGGCCUCCCAAAGUGCUGAGAUUACAGUUGUAAGCCACCACGCGAUUCUUCUUUUGUGGGUGGUGGGAAGAAUUCAGGCUCAGAUAAAAAAUAUCCCUUCCCACCGAUCAUCCAAAUCUUGUUGAUUCUACUUCAAAUUGUUUCUUUAAUUUUUCCCAUUCCUGCUCCUACUCCCCGAGUUCAGACCCUCUUCAUCUCUUCUCUGUAUUAGGACCAACUGGACUCCUAACUGCUCUUUUGCCUCUCCCCCUUUUUUUUUUUUAAACUUAACCCGUCAUCUCUCCUACAAAAGCAUUCAUCCUUUUCUGCUGCCAGAGUGAAAUUUCUAGGACUACAACUACUCAUUUCGGGUAGCUCCUUAUCACCUACAAAAUAAAGUUUAAACCCCUUAACAUGAUGUUAUGAUCGCUGUCAAUGCCUGCAACACCGUGAUUUUCCAUCUCUCCCCAUAAACACCUCUGACCACCUUGGAUUGUUCAUCUGUCGUUUCCCCUUCAGUGGUUCUUCCUCUUGAAGCCUUGCUUUCUGCCAACCUUUCCAUUCAGUACCCUUUAGUUCAUCAAAUGCUUAAUUGAACACAGGCACAUACCAGUUCCUGUCACCCAAGGAGGUGAGGAGCAGGUGACAAGACAAGGGGAGGUAGUGUUGCAGAAUAUGUCACAUGUCAACACAGUCGAUGUAAAUGUUUUAGUUAGCUUGCCUGAGUUUAGGGACCUGAAUGCACUUUUUCAUCAGGCUGGAAUCACUGCAGGGGUUUUGGUAAGGAGUUUUGCAAAACUUGAGAUCACGUGGAAAAAUACGGCUCUGAGGGGGGGUAAAUUUAUGGAAAGUCAUCUUUACAUUAAUCAUCAAAGCUGAUGUCUAAAUAAAGACAAUGCGAUUGACAUUUUGCACAUUUUAAAUUAGUAGUAGUGGAUAUAGCACUCAAUUUUCACUUACCAUUCCUGACUUCAAAAAAAGAAGUGUUAAAUUUUCUUUCCUGCAGUCUCAAGGAGAUGCUUGCUUAUUUGUUUUGAUUUGUUGCAGAUAAUAUGCACGCAGAGAGGUUUUCCUUUUCUGAGUCUCAUUUUCCAUCCACAUAUUCAGUGUCUUCUUGCCUUGCAGACUUAGGAUUGUUGAUUUUCCAUCCCUCUAGUUCUGCCUGCUGGGCCACUGGCUACAGUGUACAGGUUGGGAUCAUAGGACUGUGACUGGCCCCGGGGGCACAUGGGCCUGACUCUCAGCCCAUGAGGUUUGCCAGGUUGGGCUCCCUGGCUUGUGGCUGCAUUACAUUUUUAUAAUUCUGUCGUGAUUCAGAGAUGUUAAGUAAGUUGGUACUUGAGAUAGAAAGGUUUAGGAUAAUCUUAUUUAACCAAUGAGGCCCAGCUCAGUAGGUAAUUGUCAGCCCGUCUACCCAGCUCCCGGGGUUUAUCGCCUCAGUCAUGGCCCUGGUAUCUGUGUGCAGAAGCAUACCUGUCAACUCCUCUUUCCCAUCUUAGCAACCUCCUUCCUCUCAGGCCAGUUCCCAGUGCUAAGGACCUGGUUACCCUUCCUCCUUGUGUUUCCUGCAGCUACAAUAACAAAUUGUCACGAAACAUUAUCCUCUCACAUUUCUGGAGGUCAGAAGUCCAAAGCCAGGCUAUCAGCAGGGCUGCGCUCCCUCCAAAGGCUCUAGGGGAGAACGCUGUCUUGCCUCUUCCUCCUCCAGCCUCUGGUGACUGCUGAUGUUCCUUUGCUUGUGGCAGCAGCAUCCAAUCUGUGCUUCUGUCCUCACCCAGCCUGCUUUCCUGUGUGUGACUCUGUGUUCUUUUCUGUCUCUGAAUAGAACCUUCUCAUUUAGGGCCCAUCCUAAUCCAGCAUGAUCGUAUUUCAAUCUUUACCCUCAUCAUGUUUUAAUGACCCGACUUUCAAAUAAGGUCACAUUCUAAGGCUGUGAGUGACAUGACUUUGGAGUGGAUGUCAUUCACUCCACCAUACUCAUCUACUUUAACUUUGUCAAGACUUCAAUGCAAACACGUCUACUUCUUACACCCCCUGUUUUACCUCCUUUUCCUAUUUUCAACUCUCCAUUCCUUUUUUCCUCAUUUACCCCUUUAAGAAUGACUUAUAAUUUGUGUGCACAAGAUUUGACUAUUCUGCAUUUCUGAAGAUAUGUACAAAGUAAGAAAGCCAAGUCCAGAGGCCAGAGGUGAAGCCCGACCUCUGUGUUUCUAACAUCAAGGUUGCUGCCCUGCCCAGGACCAACACCCAGCAAACCUUAGAUGAUGUCAAUAAGGUGAUGUUCACCAACAUCUUCAACAGCGGGCUGAAAGCCAAGCAGACGUGGUCACUCUGCAGUCCUCUGGAAGGCCCAAGAGAGCCCUUGCCUGCUACCUGAAUAGAUGAGGACCUCCGGAGCUACCUGGCCUUUGUGGAUUCCAGACCUCCUCCAUCAGCCGAGCUCCAGGAGAGCCCCAGCAGCACUCUAUUUUCCUGCUGCCUCAGUGCUCAAGAUGAUGGUCUUUUUGAGUGUCCAGCUGAUUCUGUUGCUCACUUACCAUUGUGUGGGUGCCUCUGUCAUCCCUUGCCCUUGGAAAGCCUACACUUUGAGGUUUUGAAUCUCACUCAGUGACCUUCAAGGCACUCCCUCCCAGCUGCCUGUUGCCCAGGCUGAAACACAAUGUUUCAUGUGGUUUCACGGAUGAGGUCACACCCAUUUUCUUUGCAAUAUCCUUAACAAAUUUUCAUUUGGGGGAAAUAAAGAGAUGAUAGGAAAGCA
Molecule: long non-coding RNA, 2791 nt
Organism: Pongo pygmaeus (Bornean orangutan)
Lineage: Eukaryota; Metazoa; Chordata; Mammalia; Primates; Hominidae
Exons: 2
Source: RefSeq, a predicted model, not a curated record